CUCCAGCCUGGGCGACAGAGCAAGACUCCAUCUCAAAAAAAACCAACAACAACAACAACAACAACAACAACAAAAAGACCACUAGCUAGACUAAUAAAGAAGAAAAGAGAGAAGAUCCAAAUAAACACAAUUAGAAAUGAUAAAGGAAAUGUUACUACUGACCUCACAGAUAAAAAAACAACCACCAGAGACUACUAUGACCACAUCUACACAUACAGACUAGAAAACCUAAAACAGAUGAAUAAAUUCCUGGACACAUACACCCUCCCAAGACUGAGCAAGGAAGAAAUUGAUUCCCUGAACAGACCAAUAAUGAGCUCCGAAAUUCAAUCAGUAAUAAAUAGCCUACCAACCAAAAAAGGCCAGGACCUGAAGGACUCACAGCUGAAUUCUAUUAGAUGUGCAAAGAAGAGCUGGUACCAUUCCUACAGAAACUAUUCUAAAAAAUUGAGCAGAAAGGACUCCUUCCCAACUCAUUCUAUGAGGCUAGCAUCAUCUUAAUGGUAAACUUUCAAUGACUCUCCACCACCAAGAGGAUGAAUUUCUAUCUCCUUAGAAUGGCAUAUAAAGCCAUUUGUGAUUUGGCCCUGGCUUCCCUCUCCACUCCAGCAGCUGUACUUAAGUACUUGUAGGUCCCUUAGGGAGCCAUAAUUUGUGGCAUUUUUACAUGUUACUUCCUUGGCAUAUAUAUUUUAUUUUAUUUUUGUCAGGCCCACACCACUUAGAUGUUGCUGACUCUAGUAAAGCUUCCCUUACUCCCCAGGUGCUGGGCUAAGUACCCCUAUUCUGGGAACCCUUCUGCUUACCAUAUCACAGCACUUCCGUGACUUCAUAAUCGUCUGUUUACUUGCCAUUUCCUCUAUUAAAUUCUGAGCUCCCUGAUGGGAGUAUUCAUGGUUAGAGUCUCAGUCUCUAUUACGGGCCCUAGUACACUUCAGGAACUCAAAAGCUUUGCUGAUAUAAUGCAAGGUGAUAAAAAAGUAGAAAGACUUGGGAUAAUCUUGAUUUCUGAAGGCAUCAAACGGGAAUUAGAGAAAGCAGCAGGAAAAACGAAGGCCUUUUUAAGUUCCAUGAGAACUACGGUUUGCAAGACUGGUCAAAACAGUACAAUGCAAGCGGCAAGAAUCAGGAAGUGCACAGAAACAAGAAGCUCGGUGCACACUGGGAUCAGGCAAGCAUCUGGGAGAAGACUGUAGCAAGACUGGAUCCUGAGAGUGUUUCAAUUGAAUAUUGCAACUGAAGACAUUCACUCUGCGUUGAUCACCUAUGGAGUGAUCAAAUUUCAACCCUUUGAAGUUUCCUAAAUGAAAGAGGCACUCUGAAUUCAAAGGCUGUUUGAAUGAACUGACUGCUUCAGCACUGUCUUGUAGAUAUAGUCCAUUCAAAUAAAAGACAAAUAUCUGACUGAAUUUUGUUAGCACGUUAAGACAUGUAUUAUAAAAAGGUUUAAGAAGAAAAUAAUGGCCACAAUUCUUCAGAAAACAUGUGAACUAAUGUGACAAAACACUGUGGUGUUGCAAACUCAAGUGCUGCUCUGGCCAAGUCACCUCGCUGAAAUCUCCACUUCCACUUGUGCAACCUACCAAGCCACUCUCUACACAGCUGCCAGAGUGAUUACAAAAACAACGCGGGAUUAUGCUACCCCUGCUUAUCUAAAAUUUGUCAAAAUGCCCGUUACACUUUGAAUAAAAUACAGAUUCCUCUCAGAUCUCAUUUCUUAUCAUGUCUUUCUCAAUCAUUAUGUUCCAGCCUCACUGACCUUCUUUCUGUUCCUGUAAAAUAUUCCUGCCUCAAGGGCGCAGGCCUACGACCUGCAGUUCUCUUUUUCCCACAUGUGACCAGGCUCUCUCUUAGCCAUCAGGUCUCAAAUAAGCUCUUUCCGUUCUGUCUAGGCAUCUUAUCAAAAUCAACCUGUGUAUUAUUAUUCAUUUAUCACAUAAUCUUGUUUUAUUUUCCUCAUAGCACUCUCACUUUCUGAAAUUAUCUUUGUUUAUAUGUUUAAUGCCCUUCUUUUCCACUAGAAUGGAAACUCAAAGAUCAAGAAACUUAUCUGGCCUUUUCACUGUUGAAUUGCCAAAAUUUUGAACAGUGCCUAACAUACAGUAAAGGCUCAAUAAAUAAAUAAAUAAAUGUUCAGCUCUCUUGGCUGUCUCUGCAGUGAUCAAGAAUAUUUUGAUGUCUCUCAAAAGAACUAUAUGCUUAUAGUAGCCU
RNAcentral lists this long non-coding RNA (2211 nucleotides) under Homo sapiens (human). RNAcentral's name for it is "HSALNT0017307". The record is from RNAcentral. Lineage: Eukaryota; Metazoa; Chordata; Mammalia; Primates; Hominidae.